Molecule: RNA transcript, 4414 nt
Organism: Hemicordylus capensis (graceful crag lizard)
Lineage: Eukaryota; Metazoa; Chordata; Lepidosauria; Squamata; Cordylidae
Gene: PODN
Gene name: podocan
Exons: 13
Source: RefSeq, a predicted model, not a curated record
UUGACUAAACACAUCUAGAGUAUCUCUGUGACGCAAUCAAUGUGAUGAUUGCAUGCAUGUGAAGAUUGUCACACGCUCCCCACCAAAUACAUGGAUGUUGCUUGGCUGGCAGGUAGAGACAAAAAUAUUUUGAGAAAAUUCAAAGAGAAGAUUCAAAAAGCUUGAAACACACAUUUAAAGCAGAGACUAAGGACUCAGAACAUGUAGAUAUCAUAUGUGCUAGUUUUUCUAAGAGGUUUCCAAUUUAUUCUCGCUCCUCUGUUUUCUCCUGUUUGGAUUAAGGGUUCCUUACCCUCACAAUCACACCAGUUUUCUGGUUCUUGGGGGAAAUGAGCUACUUUUUGAUGCCAUUGUUGCUUGUGUGGUCCUGGGGUCACAGAGAGCAGACUACCGAGGCUGAGGGUGGGGAGCGCAGAACAAAUCCGAGAUCUGAGUCACUUUACAUAAAGCAGCCAAUUUGUUUAAUGCAAACACACACUUCUCUCAUUGGCUUUUGGGAAUAGUUUAUGGUUCAGUGGUGGAUCCAUUCCAGUCAAAGCAAGCCAAGAUAAUUGUGUGUGGGGGUGGAGAGGAGGAAAUAACAAUAGAGCUUUAGAUUAAGCAAAUGUUCAAGAGGAAUUGGAAAGAAGAACUUGGAGGAUUUUUGAUGCUCAGCAAGUACCCAAGGGAAGAGGUUGCCUAUAUUUUCCUUACAGGUAUUGUACAGGUCACAGCAGGGUUAUUUAUAUAACUUGUGGCUUUUAUUAAUGCAUAUCGAAAUAAUUCCUUCCCAGUCUGGAAGAACUGUGGUGACAGGAAUGAAUCCAGUUACAUGAGGGAAUUUUGUUCUACCUCUAAAAAGGACAUGAUGAUAGUACAUGACUGUUUACUCCAUAGUAUCCUCAAAUAAAAAUGGAAGAUGUGGGAUGAAAGGAAAGUCUUUUCCUCCGGGGAAUCCCAACUUGCCUGAAAUCUCUGAGGGCUGUUUCUAGUACAUAAUAAAGACCUGCCGGUUGAUUGAGAGCUAGAAGGAAAGGGGAUGAGCAGAAUGAAAUACAUCAGAAGAAUGAAUUACUUUUUCAGAGGCAUUUAAGGAGCCCAUGUGUGAGGGGGUGGGGGUGAAAAAUAAACCUAGGGUUCACGGUUGGACAGUGUGAAAGAAAGAAAGAAAGAAAGAAAGAAAGAAAGAAAGAAAGAAAGAAAGAAAGAAAGAAAGAAAAAGAAAGAAAGAAAACCAGGCAAAUGGAAAUGCUGACAACAUACUGUUUGAAACCUGCUCUAGUCAAAUGUGCCGCUCUCUAUCAGUUUCCUUGUUGUUCAAAGGGAAAUAGUUGUGCUGAUAAAGGCAACGGGAAGUUAAUAUUUGCCCAAGUCAUUAAAUUCAGACCAUAGCUAUGAAUGUCUUCUUUCUCUUUCCCCCUCCCCAUCCCUUCCAUUCUGUUCACUUACAUUUCCCCAUAUGGUGACUUUGGAAAAUUCCUCUCAGCAUAGAAAAGGACAGGAAAUUCUCUUUGGGAGAGAGGGUUGCCUAUUUCUCUCUCCCUUUCUAGUUCUGCUGAUCACAUCUGGAAAGGAUCUGGCUUGGGAAGGGGGGAAAGUGUUCAAGCGCUUGGAGUGUGUAAUUGACAUGGCAUGAGCAAAGAGAGCCUUUGGAGGGGACAAGAGAAGCACUUUUCUCUGGGCACUUGCAUCACUAUCAACCAAGCGAAGGAUCUGAGCCAAACUGAGGGGUCCUUGCACAGACUGGAAAGACGAGGUCAAAGCAAGAUGAGGAGCUCUGGAUGGAGGAGAACUUUAUUGGAAAUGUACCCAAAGUUCAGGUCCCUCUUUCCUGUGCUGUGGCUGCUGGUACUUAGCGCCAACAGAGUUCAAGUUCAGAAGAAUGAAGACAGCAAUGAAUUUCCAGAAAAUUCAUCUGAACUACUUGAUCCGGAACGUAAUUCCCUGGCUCCAGACUGCCCUAAAAAAUGCUCCUGCAACUCAGAAGGAAUUGUGGAUUGUGGCGGUUUUUCUCUGAAAGAGUUUCCCAUAGAUGUACCAGAAUUGACAAGCCACCUUUCCUUGCAGAACAACCAGAUAGAAGAAAUCUUUCCAGAAGAGCUUGCACGUCUUCACAGGCUAGAGACACUCAACUUGCAGAACAACAGGCUCACUUCCAAAGGCCUUCCAGAGGAAGUGUUUGAACAACUGGAGAACCUGAAUUAUCUGUACCUUGCAAAUAAUCAGCUCACGGCGGCUCCAAAAUUCCUCCCAAGAACCUUAAUCAGUGCAGAUUUUGCAGCCAAUAAUCUCACUAAGAUUUAUGAGCUCACAUUUGGACAGAAGCCAAACCUGAGGUCAGUGUACCUUCACAAUAAUAAACUUGAAGAUGCUGGCUUGCCUGAGAGCAUGUUCAAUGGUUCUGACAAUGUGGAGGUUUUGAUCAUGUCCAGCAAUUUCUUAAAAUAUGUUCCAAAGAAUCUGCCACUAGCACUAUAUAAACUGCAUCUAAAGAAUAACAAAUUGGAAAAGAUUCCCAAAGGAGCCUUCAGUGAACUCUCAGGACUUCGCGAGCUGUAUUUGCAGAACAACAAAUUGACAAAUGAGGGCAUGGACAAUGAAACCUUCUGGAAACUGUCAAGCCUUGAGUACCUGGAUUUGUCCAGCAAUAAUCUUUCUCAAAUUCCAAGUGGAUUACCUCGAAACAUUGUCCUUCUGCACCUAGAGAAGAAUGUCAUUAAAUCAAUUGGUAGAGAUGUGCUUACCCAGAUCAAGAACCUGGAAUACCUCCUGCUUCACAAUAACAAACUGAAGGCCCGUGGAAUCCAUUCACUGGCUUUCCAUGGCCUGAAGAAGUUGCACACUGUCCACUUGUACAACAACCAGCUGGAAAGGAUCCCCAGUGGACUGCCCAGACGGGUGAAAACUCUUAUGAUUCUCCACAACCAGAUCUCAGAAAUUAGCAGAAAUGAUUUUGCAACCACAUAUUUCCUGGAGGAACUAAACCUGAGUUACAAUAAGAUCACCAGCUCACAGAUUCAUCGGGAGGCCUUCCGCAAGCUGAGGUUACUGAAAUCCUUGGAUCUUUCUGGCAAUAACCUCCACACCAUGCCUUAUGGUUUCCCAAAGAACUUGCAAAACCUGAAGCUGAAGGUGAAUGAGAUAAGCUCUAUUCCCAAGGGUACAUUAUCUGGGAUGUCAAGAUUGCAGGAGCUGUACCUGAGCUACAACAAACUGAAAGUCAGCUCAAUUUACAGUGGAUCAUGGAGGGACCUCACCAGUCUUAAGACGUUAGACAUGGCUGGUAAUCAACUCACUGCUAUUCCGUCUGAUUUGCCAGAAUCUCUUGAAUACCUGUAUCUCCAAAACAACAAGAUUACUACAGUUCCAGAGGAUGCCUUUGAAUCCACACCCAACAUAAAAGGAAUUUAUCUCAGGUUUAACAAGAUUGCCUUCAGUGCAGUAAAAGAAAGCACAUUCCAAAGAUUGAAGCAUCUGCAAGUCUUGGAUAUUGAAGGAAACUUUGAAUUCAGUGACCCUUUGAAGAAUGGGGAUCGUUCUGAUGAAGAAGUGGAGGAAGAGGAGGAGGAGGAAGAACAGGAGGUGGAAGAAAAACAAAGAUAAACCUUGACUGAACCAAGCUUAUCACAUGGAAAUCAUUCAGCAAAGCGGCAUGUAUCCCUGUGUUCAUAUAUCAAUAUCUAUCUGUAUCUCUUAGAUAUACACAGAACACUUAGCAAAAAGUGCAACAAAUUACAUGCAGGUGGUUGGCACAUGUGACGCUUGACCAGGCCAGUUGAAGACAGUCUGCUAAUAACAAAAUUUUGACUUCUUUGUCUACUGGAUAUGCUACCCUAUCCCUGUCGAGGCCUGGCAGAAAACAUGGAACAAGAGAAAACAAAAUCCUGUUUGGAUUCAACAAUAUAUCAGAAUAUCAAGAAUGAAUCCAACUAUUAUAUACUAAUAUUUUAAUAUAAUAAUAAUGAUACAACUGUAUGGUUGAAAAAAGAACUUGGAAUAAGCAGAACAUUUGAAAUCCAAAAAGUGAAUUUCUGACUGUAGACCAACAGGGAAAACACCUGAUGAAAAUCCAUGCCAGCCAAAGUUGCCAAGAAAUGUUGACAUCACGGUGGCCAUCUGCUUCCUUCUCAAAGAAGGGCUUUUCCAAAUGAACAUGUAUAUUGCACAAUACAUAUGCAGGUGUUACUGAGUUAACAGUGGUAGGAGGUGGGAAUAUAUCUUUCACUAAGGCAAGGUGGAGUUUUUACACAUGUUUUAACCUCCCCUUAAACCGCAAUAUUUUGUUGGGCGUGGUGGAAUUUCUUAUAGCUAGGGUCUCUUGAAAUCUAAAGUGUGGUGAUAAUGGUAGUGAUAUUAUCAGUACACUAUUUUAAUGUUUUUAUUCAAAUGGUUAUUCCCUUUCAACAGUGAGAUGCAUGGUCGUCUGGGCUUGUAA